UACGUAGGGGGCGAGCGUUGUCCGGAUUUAUUGGGCGUAAAGAGCGUGUAGGCGGUUCGGUAAGUCUGUCGUGAAAUCCUGAGGCUCAACCUCGGGCGUGCGAUGGAUACUGCCGGGCUAGAGGGUGGUAGAGGGGAGUGGAAUUCCCGGUGUAGCGGUGAAAUGCGCAGAUAUCGGGAGGAACACCAGUAGCGAAGGCGGCUCGCUGGGCCACACCUGACGCUGAGACGCGAAAGCUAAGGGAGCGAACAGG
RNAcentral lists this ribosomal RNA (253 nucleotides) under uncultured bacterium. RNAcentral describes it as "partial 16S ribosomal RNA". It matches the Rfam family "Bacterial small subunit ribosomal RNA", at positions 524 to 776 of the family's 1533-position model. The record is from RNAcentral.